CCCCUCUCUCUAUCUCUACCUCCACCUCCAUAUAUAAGCCACAAUCUCAGAAAACCCACCUGUUUCUAGGACACUUAACAGAUGUUCAAAGAGAGAGAUCCCUCACAAAUUUCAGGGUUUUUGUUUUAGGGUUCUAAUAUUUGUUAAGUGUAUUAGAAUUAACGAAUAAAUAGGUGUUUAUAUGAAAAUGGAAGAAGGGUCUUUCUGCACGGAGAAAAGAAAGCAAAGACAGUCCCAAAAAGACAAACCCUACAGAGGAAUCCGCAUGAGGAAGUGGGGAAAGUGGGUUGCAGAAAUAAGAGAGCCCAACAAAAGGUCAAGAAUUUGGCUUGGUUCUUAUUCUUCGCCGAUCGCCGCCGCCCGAGCCUACGACACGGCGGUGUUCUACCUGAGAGGCCCUUCUGCUCGGCUUAACUUCCCUGAGCAGCAUAAAAAUAGGCCGCAUUUGAUUUGAUAUUUUCAGUUUUCAAUUUUAGAAAAAAAAAAAAAAAACUGACAACGUGUUUGAAUUAAUAUUUUUGAAAAUACAUUUUAGAAAAAUAGGAUUAAAUUUAUAAUAUAAAACUCAAAACUGACAUUUUGAUGUUUUCAAUGAAAAUUUUGAAAACACUCAAAACAUGAAAAAUAAGUGUUUAAAUAAAAUUAUAAUAAAUACAAUUUUAAAUUUUAAAAAAUAUAUAUAUUCAAAAAAAUAAAAAAAUAGAAAUGAUAAAUUCUAAAAAGUAAAGAUUUUGAGUAAAUAAAAUUUAAAAUUCUAAAAAAAAUAAAUUUCUAAAAAAAAUUAUAAAAAAAAUAAAAAUAGUUCAAACUCUUAAUAAUUAUUUACAUAAAACUUCUAAAAAUAUAUUUAAAUAAAUAAGACAAAAAUAUUCUUAGUGCAGGUCAUUAAUUUUUGAACUCAAUUUAUUAUUUAUUUUACUUUAUUUUGGUAGGUAAAAAAAAUAUUGUAUGGUUCACCAACUUUAAAAUAUAUAUUUAAGUUAAUAAUAUAUUAACAUAAAUUUAUUAUAUUUUUACUAAAUCAAAUUUCUUGAAAUAAAAUUUCAUAAAACAAUUGCUAAAAAUUUCAAACUAAACGUGUUUCCUAAUUUUUGGUUUUGCAAAUAAUUUUUUAAAAUGACAGAUGGAACGUAUUUUAGCAAUUUUAAAACAAAUUUUUAAACUGAAAAAUUGAAAAUGAACUCAAAACUGAAAAAUUAAAUACAAAUCAAACGGAUCCUCACUCUCUUAAUUUUGAUGCAAAAGAAUCGGUGCUGAAGAAUAGAACCGACUAAAACCCGGUCCACCGUUACAGUUUUUGCUUUUUAUGAUUAACAAACGGGAUUAGAUUGAACCGAUGUUAUAUGUCGGCCAAAAUUGUACUUAUCUUUAAGGAAAAUUGGGCGUGGCGGCCGUUCCCGGACGACACACUAGCAGCCAAGUAAGACAACUCUUAUUGCGUGCUGCCAAUGCACACCAAACCCCACCCCACCCCCUCUCUCUAUCUCUACCUCCACCUCCAUAUAUAAGCCACAAUCUCAGAAAACCCACCUGUUUCUAGGACACUUAACAGAUGUUCAAAGAGAGAGAUCCCUCACAAAUUUCAGGGUUUUUGUUUUAGGGUUCUAAUAUUUGUUAAGUGUAUUAGAAUUAACGAAUAAAUAGGUGUUUAUAUGAAAAUGGAAGAAGGGUCUUUCUGCACGGAGAAAAGAAAGCAAAGACAGUCCCAAAAAGACAAACCCUACAGAGGAAUCCGCAUGAGGAAGUGGGGAAAGUGGGUUGCAGAAAUAAGAGAGCCCAACAAAAGGUCAAGAAUUUGGCUUGGUUCUUAUUCUUCGCCGAUCGCCGCCGCCCGAGCCUACGACACGGCGGUGUUCUACCUGAGAGGCCCUUCUGCUCGGCUUAACUUCCCUGAAUGUAUAGCCGAAGGUGAAGUAUGUCAUGAAUUGUCGGCUGCGGAUAUAAGAAAAAAAGCCACCGAGGUUGGUGCUAGAGUGGAUGCGUUGCAGAAUACACUCCAUGCACCGAC
Molecule: long non-coding RNA, 2008 nt
Filed under: Olea europaea (common olive)
Lineage: Eukaryota; Viridiplantae; Streptophyta; Magnoliopsida; Lamiales; Oleaceae
Description: long non-coding RNA (OEUR_LNC012801)
Source: RNAcentral